GAUGAACGCUGGCGGCGUGCCUAAUACAUGCAAGUCGAGCGAACAGACGAGGAGCUUGCUCCUCUGACGUUAGCGGCGGACGGGUGAGUAACACGUGGAUAACCUACCUAUAAGACUGGGAUAACUUCGGGAAACCUGAGCUAAUACCGGAUAAUAUAUUGAACCGCAUGGUUCAAUAGUGAAAGACGGUUUUGCUGUCACUUAUAGAUGGAUCCGCGCCGCAUAAGCUAGUUGGUAAGGUAACGGCUUACCAAGGCAACGAUGCGUAGCCGACCUGAUAGGGUGAUCGGCCACACUGGAACUGAGACACGGUCCAGACUCCUACGGGAGGCAGCAGUAGGGAAUCUUCCGCAAUGGGCGAAAGCCUGACGGAGCAACGCCGCGUGAGUGAUGAAGGUCUUCGGAUCGUAAAACUCUGUUAUUAGGGAAGAACAAAUGUGUAAGUAACUAUGCACGUCUUGACGGUACCUAAUCAGAAAGCCACGGCUAACUACGUG
Molecule: ribosomal RNA, 497 nt
Filed under: uncultured bacterium
Lineage: Bacteria
Description: partial 16S ribosomal RNA
Rfam family: Bacterial small subunit ribosomal RNA
Source: RNAcentral